This 64-nucleotide small nuclear RNA is filed under the name Mustela putorius furo (domestic ferret). Its description in RNAcentral is "U4 spliceosomal RNA". It matches the Rfam family "U4 spliceosomal RNA", at positions 1 to 64 of the family's 138-position model. Rfam says of the family: U4 small nuclear RNA (U4 snRNA) is a component of the major U2-dependent spliceosome. The structure of U4 snRNA from yeast and human has been reported. Lineage: Eukaryota; Metazoa; Chordata; Mammalia; Carnivora; Mustelidae. The record is from Rfam by way of RNAcentral.
ACCUUUACGCAGUGGCAGUAUCGCAGCCAAUGAAGUUUAUCUGAGGCGUGAUUACUGCUAAUAA